RNAcentral lists this long non-coding RNA (882 nucleotides) under Mus caroli (Ryukyu mouse). Its description in RNAcentral is "lncRNA (MGP_CAROLIEiJ_G0006100.1)". Lineage: Eukaryota; Metazoa; Chordata; Mammalia; Rodentia; Muridae. The record is from RNAcentral.
CCAGUGGCUAACACAUAAUUACAGUCUCAAGCUUGCUUUGAGAAGAGUGCUGGGCUUUCUUUGUGUCUGGUCUUCUCAACAGCUGUGUCAUCAGGCUGGCCUGCCUACUCACCGUUUCAAACACUUCAAGAAAAUAAAAUGGAUGUCUAGUAAAAGAAAAGAAACAUGUUUCCAUGCCCUUGGAAGGAGGAGGACUGGUCUCCAUUUUGCUCUUCAAGAAGAAAAUACUUAUGAGGCCAACACAGCUGCGGGACCCACUCACGCCAGUUCUGUUGUGAGUGUCCCUCUAGCUGGUGCAAGCUUAGUGCACAUGAAGUAUGUGUCCUGGGAAGACGCUGGGACACUUACUCUUUAAUGAGUGUCUUCACCAACACUGACCAGGUGCUGAUGGGAGAUGGUUUGCCUUCAAUACAAAUAAAAAAGGAAGAAUCUCUUUCUGCCCCUCGUGCUAAAGAGAUUGCUCUGCACAAACGAUCCCUGUUGUUUUCUAAGGAGAGACAGAAAGGAUGUGGAUUCUGACAGGAGAGAAAAGAGAAGAGAAAUGAGAAAAGGGGACAGGGAACAGGAGCAAGAAGAGGUGUUUCAUAAGAAGGAAGAAAGCAGGAGGUGGGAAGAACAAAGUCCCAUAUGGAGUUUUCCUACAGACGAUGAAGCCGGAUUGAGAGAAGACAGUGGUUUCUACCAAGAACAACAAAUGUGUGUGGGUUUGCAAAAGUAAAUAUGAUCAGGUUUUGACACGUGACCUUGUCUUCUCAUAAAAGUUGAAAAAAGAUUCGGGGAUUUUCUUACCCUUUAAAAAUAUUUACAAAUGCCAGUGGCUCAUGGAAGAGCAGUUAUUAAAUUGAUUUUGUAAACAUGAAACAAAGAAUAAAGCUUCCAUCC